This is a long non-coding RNA of Ostrea edulis (European flat oyster), 720 nucleotides long. RefSeq lists it as uncharacterized. The record is from RefSeq and is a predicted model, not a curated record. NCBI's taxonomy places the organism in Eukaryota, Metazoa, Mollusca, Bivalvia, Ostreida, Ostreidae. The transcript is spliced from 3 exons.
UGGUUAGCCAUUCAAACGAACAUCUAUCAUUGAAACGACUUUUUGAAAACACUUUGUGAAUAUUUUGGUGCUCAUAGCAGAAACUAUCAACACCUACAGAAUUUCACCAGCUGCUUAUGGGGUACUUUUGAGAAUAAUACAGUCAAUUUCAUUGGUCGAGGGCUGGUCACAUGGAGGGAGACAAUUCGUGAUGUCUUCCUCACGCGCAGGGUGACAACUGUGUUGUCUCCCUCUAGAAGAUAACUUUUAAAGUGAGCAACAUAACCAUAGGAAAAUAUGCGGGAUCGCUCUUAAUAUCAGUCAUGUAGACGCGGGUGUGGUUGGGAGCAAAGGCCUGUUGGACAUCGCUGUGCCAGGAACCCUUUGUUUUGGAGUACCUACACAGGUACUACUCAAGACCUAAUGUUAUUAAAUUUCAUGAAAUUAUGUCAACCAGUAAAAUUAAAACACUUAAACUCUGUAUGUUUAUCUCAAAAAUCUAUCAGUUGGUCUGUCCUCCUUAACAUAUUUUGUAAAUAUUUUCACUACAUGUAUAUUGUAUAUUUGUUCAUACUAUGACCUCAUUCUUACUCAAAUGUAUGUUUAUUUAAUGAACCUUAUGUACCAUGUAUAAUGUGGUUUGAGUGAAUAAAUGAACUUGAACUUAGACCUAUUCUAAACACAGUUGUGAGAGGGAUCCAGAGAUUUAAACCAGUGAUAACAGUGACUGUCAUUUAUAUA